UUAAAUUGAAGAGUUUGAUCAUGGCUCAGAUUGAACGCUGGCGGCAGGCCUAACACAUGCAAGUCGAACGGUAACAGGAAGCAGCUUGCUGCUUCGCUGACGAGUGGCGGACGGGUGAGUAAUGUCUGGGAAACUGCCUGAUGGAGGGGGAUAACUACUGGAAACGGUGGCUAAUACCGCAUAACGUCGCAAGACCAAAGAGGGGGACCUUCGGGCCUCUUGCCAUCAGAUGUGCCCAGAUGGGAUUAGCUUGUUGGUGAGGUAACGGCUCACCAAGGCGACGAUCCCUAGCUGGUCUGAGAGGAUGACCAGCCACACUGGAACUGAGACACGGUCCAGACUCCUACGGGAGGCAGCAGUGGGGAAUAUUGCACAAUGGGCGCAAGCCUGAUGCAGCCAUGCCGCGUGUAUGAAGAAGGCCUUCGGGUUGUAAAGUACUUUCAGCGGGGAGGAAGGUGUUGUGGUUAAUAACCACAGCAAUUGACGUUACCCGCAGAAGAAGCACCGGCUAACUCCGUGCCAGCAGCCGCGGUAAUACGGAGGGUGCAAGCGUUAAUCGGAAUUACUGGGCGUAAAGCGCACGCAGGCGGUCUGUCAAGUCGGAUGUGAAAUCCCCGGGCUCAACCUGGGAACUGCAUUCGAAACUGGCAGGCUUGAGUCUUGUAGAGGGGGGUAGAAUUCCAGGUGUAGCGGUGAAAUGCGUAGAGAUCUGGAGGAAUACCGGUGGCGAAGGCGGCCCCCUGGACAAAGACUGACGCUCAGGUGCGAAAGCGUGGGGAGCAAACAGGAUUAGAUACCCUGGUAGUCCACGCCGUAAACGAUGUCUACUUGGAGGUUGUGCCCUUGAGGCGUGGCUUCCGGAGCUAACGCGUUAAGUAGACCGCCUGGGGAGUACGGCCGCAAGGUUAAAACUCAAAUGAAUUGACGGGGGCCCGCACAAGCGGUGGAGCAUGUGGUUUAAUUCGAUGCAACGCGAAGAACCUUACCUGGUCUUGACAUCCACAGAACUUUCCAGAGAUGGAUUGGUGCCUUCGGGAACUGUGAGACAGGUGCUGCAUGGCUGUCGUCAGCUCGUGUUGUGAAAUGUUGGGUUAAGUCCCGCAACGAGCGCAACCCUUAUCCUUUGUUGCCAGCGAUUAGGUCGGGAACUCAAAGGAGACUGCCAGUGAUAAACUGGAGGAAGGUGGGGAUGACGUCAAGUCAUCAUGGCCCUUACGACCAGGGCUACACACGUGCUACAAUGGCGCAUACAAAGAGAAGCGACCUCGCGAGAGCAAGCGGACCUCAUAAAGUGCGUCGUAGUCCGGAUUGGAGUCUGCAACUCGACUCCAUGAAGUCGGAAUCGCUAGUAAUCGUGGAUCAGAAUGCCACGGUGAAUACGUUCCCGGGCCUUGUACACACCGCCCGUCACACCAUGGGAGUGGGUUGCAAAAGAAGUAGGUAGCUUAACCUUCGGGAGGGCGCUUACCACUUUGUGAUUCAUGACUGGGGUGAAGUCGUAACAAGGUAACCGUAGGGGAACCUGCGGUUGGAUCACCUCCUUACCUUAAAGAA
Molecule: ribosomal RNA, 1554 nt
Filed under: Salmonella enterica subsp. enterica serovar Heidelberg
Lineage: Bacteria; Pseudomonadati; Pseudomonadota; Gammaproteobacteria; Enterobacterales; Enterobacteriaceae
Also listed under: 4 other names
Description: bacterial SSU rRNA
Rfam family: Bacterial small subunit ribosomal RNA
Source: RNAcentral